GACGAACGCUGGCGGCGUGCUUAACACACGCAAGUGGAGCGACGAACCAGGGCUUGCCCUGGGGCAGAGCCGCGAACGGGUGAGUAACACGUGGGUAACGUGCCCCGAUGACUGGGACAACCCGGGGAAACCCGGGCUAAUACCGGAUGUGCCCCCCCACAUCAGGGAGGGGUGUAAAGGAAGCGUCGGCCCCCGAAUCGGGAUCGGCCCGCGGCCCAUUAGCGUGUUGGUGAGGUAACGGCUCACCAAGGCUGCGAUGGGUAGCUGGUCUGAGAGGACGAUCAGCCACACUGGGACUGAGACACGGCCCAGACUCCUACGGGAGGCAGCAGUGGGGAAUCUUGCGCAAUGCGCGAAAGCGUGACGCAGCAACGCCGCGUGGGGGAAGACGGCCUUCGGGUUGUAAACCCCUUUCAGUUGGGACGAAGGUCGGGCGGUUAACAGCCGUUCCGGCUGACGGUACCUUCACAAGAAGCCCCGGCUAACUACGUG
This 492-nucleotide ribosomal RNA is filed under the name uncultured bacterium. RNAcentral describes it as "partial 16S ribosomal RNA". It matches the Rfam family "Bacterial small subunit ribosomal RNA", at positions 28 to 507 of the family's 1533-position model. The record is from RNAcentral.